GACGAACGCUGGCGGCGUGCUUAACACAUGCAAGUCGAACGGAAAGGCCCUGCUUUUGUGGGGUGCUCGAGUGGCGAACGGGUGAGUAACACGUGAGUAACCUGCCCUUGACUUUGGGAUAACUUCAGGAAACUGGGGCUAAUACCGGAUAGGAGCUCCUGCUGCAUGGUGGGGGUUGGAAAGUUUCGGCGGUUGGGGAUGGACUCGCGGCUUAUCAGCUUGUUGGUGGGGUAGUGGCUUACCAAGGCUUUGACGGGUAGCCGGCCUGAAAGGGUGACCGGCCAAAUUGGGACGGAGAUACGGCCCAGACUCCUACGGGAGGCAGCAGUGGGGAAUAUUGCACAAUGGGCGGAAGCCUGAUGCAGCAACGCCGCGUGCGGGAUGACGGCCUUCGGGUUGUAAACCGCUUUCGCCUGUGACGAAGCGUGAGUGACGGUAAUGGGUAAAGAAGCACCGGCUAACUACGUG
Molecule: ribosomal RNA, 468 nt
Filed under: uncultured bacterium
Lineage: Bacteria
Description: partial 16S ribosomal RNA
Rfam family: Bacterial small subunit ribosomal RNA
Source: RNAcentral